GCCUUCGUGGUGUAGUGGUCAGCACGCUCGACGCGUAACCGCCGAGAGGUCCGUGGUUCGAUUCCCGGAGAAGGCG
This 76-nucleotide transfer RNA is filed under the name Stegodyphus mimosarum. It matches the Rfam family "tRNA". From Rfam's summary of the family: Transfer RNA (tRNA) molecules are approximately 80 nucleotides in length. Their secondary structure includes four short double-helical elements and three loops (D, anti-codon, and T loops). Lineage: Eukaryota; Metazoa; Arthropoda; Arachnida; Araneae; Eresidae. The record is from Rfam by way of RNAcentral.